Molecule: long non-coding RNA, 1204 nt
Filed under: Homo sapiens (human)
Lineage: Eukaryota; Metazoa; Chordata; Mammalia; Primates; Hominidae
Description: HSALNT0408952
Source: RNAcentral
AUGAAUCUCUGAACAAGACAGCUCAUGACACGGUUUAUUGGAGCCUUCCUCAAAACCCAUCCAAGAGAGCUUGUUCCUGAAGCAUGGUGCUAAGUCCAUAUGCAGCAGAUGGAGCUCAUGAGAAAAGAGUUGCUCUUGUGAAGACCAAAGCUUGGUGAGGUGUCAGAUCCCCGGCGAUGGAAAGCAGUCAACUCAUGGGUAGUAAAAAGAAUGUAUUGACAACACUAUAGGUUUGAAAAGGAAAGUUUUAUUAGAUGGAAAGAACAGUGCAGAAGACCGCAGCAGAGGACCUCAGCAAGAGAGAACUAAAAAUGGUCAAUUACAAAGCACAACAUAAGACUGGAACAUUGGAGUUAAGUAGCAGAGAUCAAAAGAGGAGAUUGCAGAUGGAGGUGUUGUAUGUGACUGUUUUACAUGGAUUCUUCGCUCUGGUAGCAGAUGUUGAAGAAGCUCUAUGAAUGUCCUGUCUCUAUGUCCCAGUUUGUCAGUUUCAAAUACUCAUGUAUCUGAUUGUCAAUGCUGGAGAGCUGGGGCCAGGGCAGUAGUUGAUGAAUAUCACCUGACUGUCUCCUGCAGAAAAAGCAUUCCCAGAAGCACGGAGAAGUGAGGAGAAAAGGCAAUGCACCUGGAGCUGGAGACCAAGGCCCUGUUCUUACUGAUGGCCCUUGGAGCAGAUAUUUGAAUUGGAGAGAUAAAACCGUGGUUUUUGGGGUGUUAAUUUUGGUGGCUGAUGCAUUCUGUGAUUGAUUUGGCUAUUACAACUGGUAUUGAUUUUAAACACAUUAAUUGCAAAAUCUCAAUUGUGAUUUGAUUUCUGUAUUUACAAUACUAAAAACGAGGCUUUCGCCAGGAGAAGACAAUUGGCAGUACUCAGUUGGAAGUGCUUAAUUGUUAAUAUAUAUCAGCCGUGGUUCUUCAGCGUCGUCAGUGUUGCUCAGUCUUGCUCUUUGUGGCGACUACUGAAUGCUUGAAAAAUUCUCUCCUAUACUCCCACUCUGCACUGUAGAAGAGAAAGAGAGGAGAGUGGAAGAAAAAAGAGAGGGAGAGGAGAAAGAAAGAGAGGAGAGAGAAACAUGGGCAUGGAUGAUACAUAAGAUAAUUCCAGAAGAUUUCAGCAUAGCAGAUAAAAUACAGCAAAUCCUAACCAGCACAGGUUUGAGUGACAAACGGGCCGGUUCCAUGGACACAGGUGACUUCAUCAGGU